This is a long non-coding RNA of Dendronephthya gigantea, 414 nucleotides long. RefSeq lists it as uncharacterized. The record is from RefSeq and is a predicted model, not a curated record. Lineage: Eukaryota; Metazoa; Cnidaria; Anthozoa; Malacalcyonacea; Nephtheidae. The transcript has 3 exons.
CGGGGAGACGCCGAUAACAAAUGUGCUCGAGUUGUUUAACGAUCUGUACUACAGACUGCGAUUGACAACUAAACCAACUAUGAAAGCAAUGUGCUUUCCGGUGAGGAUGUCGUUUAGCGCGAGUCUAGCCAUGUGUAGUCUUCGAAGAAUGAAUGAAACAAGUUGGAAUAUUUUAUUCACACGCGAAGACUAAAGUUUAUGGAAAAUGUCAGGAAGAGAUUGGCGCUUUUAAUGACACCAAGCUAAGGAUCAUCUGUUAUUGAUCCAGUUUUACUACAGGAGCCUGAACUUAACUAACUUUAUUCAUACUGUUUCGUAUUUUUAGCCCUUACAUGAAAAUGGCAUCACCAACAGGGAUUCGAAGCAACAAAAUGUUUUACUGUGUUCCUCGGAUGACGAAACGCUUAUAAAGGU